GACGAACGCUGGCGGCGUGCUUAACACAUGCAAGUCGAACGGAAAGGCCCUGCUUUUGUGGGGUGCUCGAGUGGCGAACGGGUGAGUAACACGUGAGUAACCUGCCCUUGACUUUGGGAUAACUUCAGGAAACUGGGGCUAAUACCGGAUAGGAGCUCCUGCUGCAUGGUGGGGGUUGGAAAGUUUCGGCGGUUGGGGAUGGACUCGCGGCUUAUCAGCUUGUUGGUGGGGUAGUGGCUUACCAAGGCUUUGACGGGUAGCCGGCCUGAGAGGGUGGCCGGCCACAUUGGGACUGAGAUACGGCCCAGACUCCUACGGGAGGCAGCAGUGGGGAAUAUUGCACAAUGGGCGGAAGCCUGAUGCAGCAACGCCGCGUCCGGGAUGACGGCCUUCGGGUUGUAAACCGCUUUCGCCUGUGACGAAGCGUGAGUGACGGUAAUGGGUAAAGAAGCACCGGCUAACUACGUG
Molecule: ribosomal RNA, 468 nt
Filed under: uncultured bacterium
Lineage: Bacteria
Description: partial 16S ribosomal RNA
Rfam family: Bacterial small subunit ribosomal RNA
Source: RNAcentral